UUUGGAUUAUGAAUAUGAAUAUGUAUUGAUAUAUGAAAUAAGACUUGACAUCAUAGAGCAAUCUUAGCUCAUGGCAAUGUUUUCUUCUGAAAACACCUGCCGAAAUUUGUAUUAUUUCUAGUUUCCAAAAAAAUCAGUCGCGACGGGGCAAAGGGGAUGUUUGAAUGUCAGAUACUGCAUGAGGCACAUUAGUGUACAGUAAUUUCCGCAUCAUUCAUAUUCAUAAUUCACAGUGAGGAAAUCUGAAAGUUGCUACAAGCUACUAAUAAAUGAAAGGUGGGGCGGGCUGCUGUGGGGACGGGGCCGCUGUGGGGGCGGGGCCUUGUGAGCCAGUGCUUGGACUCCCACAUCAUAAACGGAAGGGCGGUGCGUGGAGGGAACUGAAGGCCUGAUUGGUUCCUCCUGAGCAGGACACGAUCUGGUUGGCAGGGCAACCGGCCUUCAGUUAGUGCCUUCAGUGGGUGCCUUCAGUUGGUGGCAUUCGGUUGCCUUUCCUGAGGAGAGGAGGCAGGUGCUCAGCUCUGCAGGCGUGGGGACAAGGAAGGACCAAGCAGCCCGAGAAGAGCAGAGGUGCCCCAUGGGGACCACGCUGACUUGUCGCAUGUGCACCAAAGCCAGCCCCAGGUAGGGCCCUCACAGGGCUUCUGCAGAGCCGUCCUGAGGCUCUGACAUCUAUGAGUCGGCGGCCAGCAGAGGCGCAGGCCCCAGCACAGAGGAGCAGAGGCACCCGGAACAAGCUGUCCCUUAAUGCCACCCCAAGCGGGGCCAGCUCAGGAUGCGGUGUUUGGAGCAGUCCUGCAGCUCUGAGAUCCACGAGGUAGUGGUGGGAGUAGCGCCAGACUCCACUGCUUUGGCUCCUGCCCAGUUUGAUUCAGCAGUCAUGACGACCAGAAGACGCCAAAAGGUAGGGAGACUACAGAUACCGCUUGGCCUUAGGAACUCCUUUGGCAGUUGCUCACCCAUGGUUCCUCCCAGAGGCACCCACAGCCUAGGGCUCCUCCCUCCUGCCCUAGUUCACUUUCCUAGGCCCAGGCCUAGGCCCAAGCAGGAGGACUUGCUCUGGCUCGACUCCCCACCCCUUCUUCUUUCCCUGUUGCAUCCAGCCGGUUACUUUCCCUUGCCCUGUCCAAGUGCUCACUUCUGGGCCCUCUUCUUCUUUUCUUAGGCUGGUCAAAACUAAGAUUUCAGAUUACAAAAUGUAUGCUACAGAUUUCAUUACGGUAGAGGAAAUAUGCGACAGCUCUUGUAUUAAACUUAAGUAGCCAUAUUGGGACUCCCAAUUUCAUAUUUUUCGUUGUAGAGCAGAGCUCUCUCUCCUAAAGUAAUGGCUGAGGGUUAGAGGUACUCUUCUUGAUUCUAAUAAUAAAAAAUGAUUUCUCAUAGAGACAGGGUCUCACUAUGUUGCCCAGGCUGGUCUCAAACCCCUGGUCUCAAGUGAUUCACCCACAUUGGCCUCCCACUUUGUUGGGAUGACAGGCAAGAACCACCACACCUGGCCUUAGGAGGUGUUCCUGCUUUGUGUGUUUUGGCUGGUCUUGCUGCACAACUGUCAGUAAGAUGCUCCUGCAGCGUAGUUCCAAAGCUUUCUGCACAAAUUCAGUGGAUAUUAUGAUUUUUACAUGGAAUAGCCCCUUUAUGUAUUGCAGAGAAGCUGGACAAUUCACAUUUAGUAACAUAUGGCCUAGCAAAUUUCAUCUCGUGAUCAACACACCUGUUAAAAGGUGAUGCUUGUGGUCUAAAUAUGCAGAUUCCUCAUCAUCCUCAAGGAAAAGGGAACCACAGCAAGAAAACCUGGGAGGGAGUUUAGGAUUGUUCUGAGGCAGUGCAAGCCACUGAAAUUCACACACAAGGGGGUAGAAAAGAGAAUCCACAUGUUCUCAUCUCUCCAUGUUCUGGGUAUAAUUUGGUCCUCCUUAAAUUGCACCAUUUUUGGCGUUAGAGAAAACUGGAUUUGAAUCCCAGUUCCAUCACUCUUUAUGAUGUGAUGGUGAAUGUGUUUUUAACUCAUCUGAGCCUCAGUUUGCUCAUCUAUAGAAGAUGUGAUUGUUACGAGGCUUCCAUAAGGUAAGUGUGUAAAAACCAUGGCAAAAUGCUUGUAAUUUAAAAGAGAGGGUUAUUAUGAGGCUUCUAUAAGGUAAGUGUGUAAAAGUCUGGACAAAAUGUCUACUAUUUUGUAAGUGUUCAAUAUGUGGAUAAAGUGGAUUAUCUUUCUCUCCUUUGUAGACUACAAAUUUUUAGACCAAGUUUAUAAAAUUGGGGAUACUCCUAUUUCUUAGACAAUCAAACCAAUGAUCAGAAAGACUAGAUAAAUCACCAUAGUCACAAAGCAGCUCACAAUGCAUUUACUGGGUAAUUUCUAGUUAACAGUAGCAAUGAUGAUCACAUUGAAAAUCUUGUUUUGUGGUGGUUUUCUCUUACGUAAGCUUCUUGCUUUGUUGAAAGCAUAGAUUCUAAGCUGCUCUAUCAAAAUGAUUAUUAGAAAAAUGUGAUGAACUUUCUGUGUAAAUUUUGUAAACUUUCUUCUGUUAAUCUUGUUAAUUUGAUUGAACAUGUGUGUCAUUUUCAAAAAUGUAAAUCGAAUAUAUGUGAAUGGGAUAUAUAUGUAUAAAUAUGAAAUAUAACUUCAAUUAGAGAGUAGGCUUAGCUCAUGGCAAUGUUUUUUCUGAAAGCACCUGCAGAAAUCUCUCUUAUUUCUAGUUUGUUGAUGUUUCAGAGAUUAUGGAGAAAUGGCGGUUCUAUGAAUCUCAGACACUGCAUGAGGCAGAUUUGGUUUCAGUAAUUUUAGCAUCAUUCAUUGUAAGGUGAUGAUCCCUAGGAACUUCAUCACAGUGAGAAACCUGAAAGCUGCCAGCAGCCAGCAUGAAUGAAAGGUGGGGUGGGGCUGCUGGCAGGGCGGGGCCUUGCGAGCCAUAUGCCUGUGCUCUCAAGUUCCAGGAUUGUGGGGAUGCAUGCAGGGGAUUCUGGACCUGAUUGUUUCCUCUGAACCAGGAUGUGGUCUGGUUGGCUGGGCAACUGGCCUUCACUUGGUGGCCUUCAGUGGAUGCCCACAUUGGUUGCCUUCGGUUAGUGCACUCAGUUGGUACCCUCAGUUGUUUCUCUUCAGUUGGUGGUCUUCAAUUGUUGGGCAGUGGUGGAAGGAGGAUGAAUCCGUUUGUGCUCUCUCCUUCCCCAGUCACAGCUCCCAGGCUUGUUGCCCCCAGGCCCUCCUAAAAUAAACCAGAGAUGUUGGCAGGUUUUUCUUAGCAGACAAAUCAGCUCAGGAUAUGGGGGUGACGCGGGGUGUAGGGUGCAGGUUGCUAGCACAGUGCCGCCCCAUGGCCCAGGGCUGCCUGUGCCAGACAUGCCUUUGCAAGGAAGAGGCAAUAGUUGUUGAGCUCUGCAGACUUGGGGGCAAGCGAAGGUCCAAGCUGCCUGAGAAGAGCAGGGGUGCCCCAUGGGGACCACACUGAACUGUCACAAGUGCACCAAAGUCAGCCCCAGUCAGGGCUGGCAGAAGGGUUCUGCAGAGCCAGCCUGUGGCUCUGAUGUCUACCAGUGUGCAGACGGAGAAGGCACAGGCUGUGAUAUACAGGAGCAGAGGAGCCCUGAACACGCUGUCCCCCAAUACCAGCCACAAGCGGGGCUAUCUCAGGGUGCGGUGGGUGAAGCCGUCCUGCAGCUCUGCGAUCCACGAGGUGGAGGUGGCAGUAGUGCCAGACUCCACUGCUUUGGAGCCUGCCCAGUAGAAUUUGGGAUCCAGUGACGGACCUGACAGCAGUACAUUGGCAACCAGAAGAUACCCCAGGUAGGGUGGCAACGGAUACUGCUUAACUUGAGAAGAGCCUCAGUUUUCUCAUCUAUAUAAGAUGUGAUUGCUAUGAAGCUUCCAUAAGGUAAGUGUGUAAAAACCAUGGCAAAAUGCUUGUAACUUAAAACAGUGUUUCUAUGAGGCUUCUAUAAGGUGAGUGUGCAAAAAUCUGGACACAAUACCUAUAAUUGUUUAAGUGUUCAGUAUAUGGAGAAGGAGGAUUAUUUUUUCUCAUCUAACUUUUAGAGUGAGUUCAUAAGAUUGGUGAUACUCAUAUAUCUUAGACAAUCAAACCAAUAAUCAGAAAGAAUAAAUAGAUCACCAGAGUCACAAAGCAGUUCACAAUGCAUUCACUGGGUAAUUUUUAGUUGAAAGUAGAAAUGAUGAUCACAUUGAAAAUUUUGUAUUAUGUUGUGGUUUUCUCUUACAUAAUCCUCUUGGUGUCUUGGUGUUAUGAAACCACAGAUUCUAAAUUGCUCUAUCAAAGUGAUCAUUAGAAAAAUCUGAUGUACUUAGUGUUUACAUGUUAGAAAAUUUCUUGUUAGUCUUCUUAAUUUGAUUGAACAUGUGUGUUAUUUUCAAAAAUGUAAAUGGGACAUAUGUGGAUUUGUUAUAUAUGUGUAUAUAUGAAAUAUUACUUGAUAUUAUAGAGUAGGCUUCGUUCAUGGCAAAGUUUUUUUCUGAAAGCACCUGCAGAAAUCUCUCUUAUUUCUAGUUUGUUAAUAUUUCAGAGAUUAUGGGGGAAAGGGGGUUUUAUGAAUCCCAGACAUUGCAUGAAGCAGAUUUGGUUUCAGUAAUUUUAGCAUCAUUCAUUGUAAGGUGAUGAUCCCUAGGAAGUUCUUCACAGUGAGAAACCUGAAAGUUCCUAGCAUGCAGCAAUGAAUGAAAGGUGGGGCGGGGCUGCUGGCAGGGCGGGGCCUUGUGAGCCAUGUGCCUGUGCUCUCAAGUUCCAAGUCUGUAGGGAUGCAUGCAGGGGAUUCUGGACCUGAUUGUUUCCUCUGAACCAGGAUGCGGUCUGGUUGGCAGGGCAACUGGCCUUCACUUGGUGGCCUUCAGUGGGUGUUCUCAUUGGUUGCCUUCGGUUAGUGCCCUCAGUUGGUACCCUCAGUUGUUUCUCUUCAGGUGGUGGUCCUCAGUUGGUGGUCUUCAGUUGUUAGGCAGUGGUGGAAGGAGGAUGAAUCUGUGCUCUCUCCUGCCCCAGUCACAGCUCUCAGGCUUGUUGCAUCCAGGCCUUUCUAAAAUAAACUGGACAGGUUGGCAGGAUUUUUUAGCAGACAAGUCAGCUCAGAGUAUGGGGGUGAUAUGGGGUGCAUGCUGCUAGCGCAGUGCCGCCCCGUGGCCCAGGACUGCUUGUGCUAGCAAUACUUUUGCCAGCAAGAGACGAUAGGUGUUGAGCUCUGCACACUUGGGGGCAACCAAAGGCCCAAGCUGCCCAAGAAGAGCAGGAGUGCCCCAUGGGGACCACACUGAACUGUCGCAUGUGCACCAAAGCCAGCCCCAGUCAGGGCCGGCACAAGGGUUCUGCAGAGCCAGCCUGUGGCUCUGACGUCUAUGAGUGUGCAGACAGCGCAGACGCAGCCCGCAAUAUACAGGAGCAGAGUUGCCCCGAACACGCUGUCCCACAAUGCCAACCACAAAUGGGGCCAGCUAAGGGUGUGGUGGGAGAAGCCAUCCUGCAUCUCUGAGAUCCACAAAGUGGAGAUAGCAGUAGCACCAACUCCACUGCUUUGGAGGCUGCCCAGUCGAAUUUGGGAGCCAGCGAGGGACCUGACAGCAGCACAUUGUACACCAGAAGACACCCAAAGGGAGAGGAGCGGAAGACCUUCUGGUGUGGGCUGGGCAGCAAUUCACUUGAAGGAGAAACAGCCCCGGUGUGGAGAGGCAGCCAUCCUUGGCGGGAUCCUUUCUAAGGAGCUGAGAAAUCAACGUAGAGCUUCCUCUAUCUGAUUCUGUAACAACUGCAGACCUUCCAUGAGUCAAGCUUUGUGUCAAAAAGACAAAUUAAAAGGACCUAUAAAUGGCACCACCCAGCCCAAUGGACAGAUGCCCCAGGCUGCAGAUUCUGUCAGUGCUGUUCUCGAAGAGGCCCAGGCACAUGCUGAAACAUGGAAGGAUAAGAAGCCAGCCCUCGGGAACCACCAGGAGCCAGGAGCACCCCCGGCCCCCCAAGGCCCCAAGUCCAGCCUGCCCCACCCCCUCCGGUGCAGAGGUCCUGGGACACCAGUGGCAGCCCCGCCACACCCCCCAAGGCCAAGGGCACAGGCAGCGGGGUCUUCCCCGCCCCGCCCGACUACUUCCUGCCGCCACAGCCACCAAUGCCGCCCCUGGAGUACCCAGAGCUCCCGCUGCCGUCCCCGGACUUCAUGGAGACCCCCCUGGACUUCGUGCUCCCUCCCCUCACUGUCGCCAAGAGGCCUCCUAUGCCCCACCCCCCCAACAGGCACGAAGCAUCAAUGUUCACAAGCAGCAAAUGAAUAAAAGUUAAACGUUCU
RNAcentral lists this long non-coding RNA (6279 nucleotides) under Pan troglodytes (chimpanzee). RNAcentral describes it as "long non-coding RNA NONPTRT001681". Lineage: Eukaryota; Metazoa; Chordata; Mammalia; Primates; Hominidae. The record is from RNAcentral.